Small nucleolar RNA from Arabis alpina (gray rockcress), 85 nucleotides. It matches the Rfam family "Small nucleolar RNA Z122". Rfam says of the family: Z122 is a member of the C/D class of snoRNA which contain the C (UGAUGA) and D (CUGA) box motifs. Most of the members of the box C/D family function in directing site-specific 2'-O-methylation of substrate RNAs. NCBI's taxonomy places the organism in Eukaryota, Viridiplantae, Streptophyta, Magnoliopsida, Brassicales, Brassicaceae. The record is from Rfam.
UUUGGGAAGUGAUGAUAAGAUAUCGAUAAGUCCUAAGCAUUUUGCAAUGCGGAACAAGAUAUUUGCACGUCAGUCUGAUCCCAUA